Molecule: long non-coding RNA, 1303 nt
Filed under: Chelonoidis abingdonii (Abingdon island giant tortoise)
Lineage: Eukaryota; Metazoa; Chordata; Testudines; Testudinidae
Description: lncRNA (ENSCABG00000009123.1)
Rfam family: let-7 microRNA precursor family (bases 415-501)
Source: RNAcentral
ACACACACUUUCACAACUACAGAUCCCAGAAGCCUAUGCGGGCAGAGACCUGCGCAGCAACGCGGGCCCUGCCCGGUUUUCCCGCGGAUUUUAUGUAAUCCCGGAUCUAGGCGCGGGAACUCUGGGAAGGACUCUCCGUCUUCUGACCGCAGCCUGCGGGAGCUGGGUCCAGCGCGGCUCCUUUCGGCCAGUCCGGAGGGGCGUGAAGUCAGGCUCUGCGGAGGGUGGCGCAGUGUCUGCCUCGGCGUAACAUUCUCCCGCCGGCCGGCGCCAUCUUUGCUGGUUGGGGGUAAGAGGGGGGUCCUGUUCCCGAGAGGCAGCAGCGCCCCGUCCCUCAUUCAAGAUGGCGACGGCGGGGUGAUUGACAUGCUUAGUCACGUGAGCACUAGCGGGAUGGGUCGGGUGCACCAUGGCCCUGGCUGAGGUAGUAGUUUGUGCUGUUGGUCGGGUUGUGACAUUGCCCGCUGUGGAGAUAACUGCGCAAGCUACUGCCUUGCUAGUGCUGGUGAUGAUCGGCUACAGAUGAAGACAAUGACAGUGGGAAUCCCCUUUGUUUUCCCGGGAUUGCAUGCUGAUGGGGUGGCAAACAAUUCUUCCCCCUCCUCCUCCUGCAGAAAUUGAGCCUUUCCUUGGCUACUGAAAUGUGAGUGAUUCAUUUUUACACCAGUGAGAUAUUGCUCUGUUGGUGCAGCUGGAUGGAAGACCAUUAGUUUGGGGCUUUUUUUACACUAUCUUAUGGAAUUUUGGCUGAAGAGCCAGUAUAGUAUCUGCUUCUUUUAAUGCUUAAGGUUGUUUUUGCCAGCCACCUUUUGAAGGGGAUGGAUCUGAUGUUUUCUGAAGACAUACAGGUUAAUGACUGACUAGAAUUGUUUCUGUGUAUUUUGAAUAUAUGUUGCUUGAAAUGUUGUAUUUGUAUUUAAAAUCACAAGUAUAUAGUUAUACUGACAAACUAUGGAUAUUGUCUGGGACAAGCCAAUAUGUGUGAAGAGCAUUUCAUUGCUUAUUGGGAAGACAGUAUUUGUACAAUACAAACUAAUUAAUUUUAUUUUGCUUAACAUUUACAGAUUUCUUGUUCUGAAUCUUUAAAAUGUCUGGUGUACAUUUUGAUUAUUUCACAGUAAAGCAAAUGAACCUAAGAAGUAUGGAUGGUGUAAAUUCAUAUUGCUGGCAUUUUUUAUUAGAGUGAUGAUUGAGAGAUACUUUUUAUGAAUUUUAAUAUGUUGACCACACUUAAUGGUGUGAAUCUAAAAUGUAUUAAUAUGCUUACAAUAAAUGUAUGUUACUUUGUCUUGUAUUGAGAAUU